AUACGGAGGGGGUUAGCGUUGUUCGGAAUUACUGGGCGUAAAGCGUGCGUAGGCGGACUAUUAAGUCAGAGGUGAAAUCCCGGGGCUCAACCCCGGAACUGCCUUUGAUACUGGUAGUCUUGAGGUCGAGAGAGGUGAGUGGAAUUCCAAGUGUAGAGGUGAAAUUCGUAGAUAUUUGGAGGAACACCAGUGGCGAAGGCGGCUCACUGGCUCGAUUCUGACGCUGAGGUACGAAAGUGUGGGGAGCAAACAGGAUUAGAAACCCUAGUAGUCC
This 274-nucleotide ribosomal RNA is filed under the name uncultured bacterium. Its description in RNAcentral is "partial 16S ribosomal RNA". It matches the Rfam family "Bacterial small subunit ribosomal RNA", at positions 523 to 796 of the family's 1533-position model. The record is from RNAcentral.